AUUCUACUCCCUCCGUUCCACAAUAGUACAUGCCUUCUAUUUGUCAAAAAUAUAGAUGUAUCUAGACAUGUUUUAGUAUAUAGGUACAUCCAUUUUUGGACAAAUGGAUGUCAAGUAUUUUGGAACAGAGGGAGUACACA
Molecule: non-coding RNA, 140 nt
Organism: Triticum aestivum (bread wheat)
Lineage: Eukaryota; Viridiplantae; Streptophyta; Magnoliopsida; Poales; Poaceae
Source: Rfam